GAGGGUGUGGCUCAAGUGGUAGAGCGCAUGCUUAGCAUGCGUGAGGUCAUGGGUUCGAUCCCCAGAACCUCCU
Molecule: transfer RNA, 73 nt
Filed under: Camelus ferus (Wild Bactrian camel)
Lineage: Eukaryota; Metazoa; Chordata; Mammalia; Artiodactyla; Camelidae
Rfam family: tRNA
About the family: Transfer RNA (tRNA) molecules are approximately 80 nucleotides in length. Their secondary structure includes four short double-helical elements and three loops (D, anti-codon, and T loops).
Source: Rfam by way of RNAcentral